CUCGUUGUUGAGAGAGUCUUCAUAAAUAACCUAAUUUUAGUAUAUAGAUAUAUAUAAAAAAAUACAUCAAAUAUCACAAGUAUACAUUUUUUCCUUCUAAAAUACAUCUUUUUAUGGGAUUCAAAAUCUGGUAAUUCCUCGCUAAUCCGAUGAUUACAAUAUUGGUCAGGUAAAUUAUUGCCUGUCUCAACGUAAGAAUUCUUCUUGAAAUAAACGGACUUUUUGCUCUUAGUGCACACUUAUCUUUACUCAUAAAUGUGAAAGUUGGUGGAGAACAUGACAAUAUUUUUAUGGUGAGUUUAUUUUAUGGGAAUGGAAAUGGGCUGAGAAUGAGAAUGAGUUGGAAUAAGAAUGAUGAAUGGGAAUGAGAUUUCAAUGUUUACUUGACAAAAAUAAAUGGGAAUGGAAAUGUGCUGGAAUGUCAUUGAUGUGUUUACUUGGCAAAAUAAAUGAGAAUGAGAAUCAAUUUACCAAAAUAUCCAUAGUAUUAAUAAUUAA
This 498-nucleotide long non-coding RNA is filed under the name Citrus x clementina. Its description in RNAcentral is "Citrus clementina (C. clementina) long non-coding RNA (CCLE_LNC003997)". Lineage: Eukaryota; Viridiplantae; Streptophyta; Magnoliopsida; Sapindales; Rutaceae. The record is from RNAcentral.